RNAcentral lists this ribosomal RNA (207 nucleotides) under uncultured bacterium. RNAcentral describes it as "partial 16S ribosomal RNA". It matches the Rfam family "Bacterial small subunit ribosomal RNA", at positions 568 to 774 of the family's 1533-position model. The record is from RNAcentral.
CGUGUAGGUUGUUUUGCAAGUCGAAUGUGAAAGCCCUUGGCUUAACCAAGGAAGUGCAUUCGAAACUGCGUGACUAGAGUUCAGGAGGGGAGAGCGGAAUUCUCGGUGUAGUGGUGAAAUACGUGGAGAUCGAGAAGAACACCAGCGGUGAAAACGGCUCUCUGGACUGCAACUGACACUGAAGCGCGAAAGCAUGGGGAGCGAACG